CCUUGAGGGUUGGAGAGCUGGAGGUUGCUGAUCUGUGCUCCUGGGCAUAUCUUUGGAUCAUCCUACAAGCAGCCCUCUGAAGCAGGAGUGGAUAGGAGUUUUUCAAUACCCUUAGGUGAACUAAGAGACAAUAUUGGGAACUCCAGCCAUUCUCUGGACCACUUAGGAUUCCUCCUCUGGACUUCAGCCUCUCCUUGCCAAAAGACUCUAUAUCUUCUACAGUCAUCAUUUGUAUGGAUAUAGGGAUUUGGAGAAACUGUUAUACAGUUCAGAUAGGCUAUUUUAUAAUAAUCAGACAAAGUGGGAGAAUAGUUGUCAUCAUUGUUUUUCAUCUUUCAUCUUCAAAGAGGACCGGUGAUAUUACAGGCUAUUGUGAAUAUCAAACAACCUACCUGUCCCUGUCUCAGGAUCUCAAGGCAGCUGACUAUCUAUCAUAUCUCAACUCCUCUUUUGCAUGAGUCAGGCUGACCAGAUAUGGAAGCUCUUCUUGCCAAGUUGUGAAUAAAAGACCUCUGCUGGAAAGUAUCAUUAAGGUACUACUUCAAUUCUCAAAGUGGUCUGCAAAUCCCUGGAUUUCCUUUUAGGGUGUCCUCAAGGUCAAAACUACUUUUAUAAUAAUACUAAAAUGUUUAUUUGCCCAUAAAAAUAUUUAUCUCUUUGCCAAUCCCAUAUCUAUAUUGGACUGAACUUUCUAUAAAUACUUCAACUAAAGCAACAUUGAAUGUAGGUAAUAUGAAAUAUGAGGAUCCAGCAAUCAUCUAUUAGACCAAACACUAAAGAGAUUUGCAUAAAUAUGUAAAACAAUGACAUUCUUCUCAUUAAUUUUUGUUUUGGAAAAUGGCUAAUUUAAAA
This is a long non-coding RNA of Monodelphis domestica (gray short-tailed opossum), 852 nucleotides long. RefSeq lists it as uncharacterized. Lineage: Eukaryota; Metazoa; Chordata; Mammalia; Didelphimorphia; Didelphidae. The record is from RefSeq and is a predicted model, not a curated record.